RNAcentral lists this ribosomal RNA (460 nucleotides) under uncultured bacterium. RNAcentral describes it as "partial 16S ribosomal RNA". It matches the Rfam family "Bacterial small subunit ribosomal RNA", at positions 338 to 795 of the family's 1533-position model. The record is from RNAcentral.
CCUACGGGGUGCAGCAGGGAGGAAUAUUGGUCAAUGGACGCAAGUCUGAACCAGCCAGGCAGCGUGCAGGAUGACGGCGCGAUGAGGGGUAAACUGCUUUUGUACGAGGGUAAACCCAGAUACGUGUAUCGGGUUGAAAGUAGCGUACGAAUAAGGAGCGGCUAACUCCGUGCCAGCAGCCGAGGUAAUACGGAGGAUCCGAGCGUUAUCCGGAUUUAUUGGGUUUAAAGGGUGAGUAGGCGGUUUGAUAAGUUAGAGGUGAAAUGUCGGGGCUAAACCCCGAACCUGCCUCUAAUACUGUUGGACUAGAGAAUAGUUGCGUUAUGCGGAAUGUAUGGUGUAGCGGUGAAAUGCUUAGAGAUCAUACAGAACACCGAUUGCGAAGGCAGCUUCCCCACCUCUAUCUGACGUUGAGGCCCGACAGCGUGGGUAGCAAACCGGAUUAGAUACCCUUGUAGUC